AUUGAACGCUGGCGGAAUGCUUUACACAUGCAAGUCGAACGGCAGCACGGGGGCAGCCCCGGUGGCGAGUGGCGAACGGGUGAGUAAUACAUCGGAACGUGCCCGGUCGUGGGGGAUAACGUAGCGAAAGUUACGCUAAUACCGCAUACGAUCUGAGGAUGAAAGCGGGGGACCUUCGGGCCUCGCGCGAUCGGAGCGGCCGAUGUCAGAUUAGGUAGUUGGUGGGGUAAAGGCCUACCAAGCCGACGAUCUGUAGCUGGUCUGAGAGGACGACCAGCCACACUGGGACUGAGACACGGCCCAGACUCCUACGGGAGGCAGCAGUGGGGAAUUUUGGACAAUGGGCGCAAGCCUGAUCCAGCCAUUCCGCGUGCAGGACGAAGGCCUUCGGGUUGUAAACUGCUUUUGUACGGAACGAAAAGGCUCUGGCUAAUACCUGGGGCUCAUGACGGUACCGUAAGAAUAAGCACCGGCUAACUACGUG
This 484-nucleotide ribosomal RNA is filed under the name uncultured bacterium. RNAcentral describes it as "partial 16S ribosomal RNA". It matches the Rfam family "Bacterial small subunit ribosomal RNA", at positions 30 to 507 of the family's 1533-position model. The record is from RNAcentral.